GACGAACGCUGGCGGCGUGCCUAAUACAUGCAAGUCGAACGCAUUUUCUUUCACCGUAGCUUGCUACACCGAAAGAAAAUGAGUGGCGAACGGGUGAGUAACACGUGGGUAACCUGCCCAUCAGCGGGGGAUAACACUUGGAAACAGGUGCUAAUACCGCAUAAUUCCAUUUACUGCAUGGUAGAUGGAUGAAAGGCGCUUUUGCGUCACUGAUGGAUGGACCCGCGGUGCAUUAGCUAGUUGGUGGGGUAACGGCCUACCAAGGCUGCGAUGCAUAGCCGACCUGAGAGGGUGAUCGGCCACACUGGGACUGAGACACGGCCCAGACUCCUACGGGAGGCAGCAGUAGGGGAUCUUCGGGAAUGGACGCAAGUCUGACCGAGCAACGGCGCGUGAGUGAAGAAGGUUUUCGGAUCGUAAAACUCUGUUGUUAGAAAAGAACAAGGAUGAGAGUGGAAAGUUCAUCCCUUGACGGUAUCUAACCAGAAAGCCACGGCUAACUACGUG
RNAcentral lists this ribosomal RNA (507 nucleotides) under uncultured bacterium. RNAcentral's name for it is "partial 16S ribosomal RNA". It matches the Rfam family "Bacterial small subunit ribosomal RNA", at positions 28 to 507 of the family's 1533-position model. The record is from RNAcentral.